GACGAACCGAGCGAACGUUGUUCGGAAUCACUGGGCUUAAAGGGCGCGUAGGCGGGCUGCCGCGUCCGGGGUGAAAUCCCACGGCUCAACCGUGGAACGGCCCCGGGUACGGGCGGCCUCGAGGGGGAUAGGGGCGUGCGGAACUGUGGGUGGAGCGGUGAAAUGCGUAGAUAUCAUUUGGAACGCCAAUGGUGAAAACAGGUAGCUGGGGCUGUGCUGACACUGAGACACGAAAGCCAGGGGAGCGAACGGG
RNAcentral lists this ribosomal RNA (253 nucleotides) under uncultured bacterium. RNAcentral's name for it is "partial 16S ribosomal RNA". It matches the Rfam family "Bacterial small subunit ribosomal RNA", at positions 524 to 776 of the family's 1533-position model. The record is from RNAcentral.